This 215-nucleotide ribosomal RNA is filed under the name Thalassiosira minuscula. RNAcentral describes it as "partial Eukaryotic large subunit ribosomal RNA". It matches the Rfam family "Eukaryotic large subunit ribosomal RNA", at positions 955 to 1169 of the family's 3401-position model. The record is from RNAcentral. Lineage: Eukaryota; Bacillariophyta; Thalassiosirophyceae; Thalassiosirales; Thalassiosiraceae.
UUCCCUCCGAAAUUUCCCUCAGGAUAGCUGCAAUCGAAUGUCAACUUUAUCAGGUAAAGCGAAUGAUUAGAGGAUUCGGGGACGGAAUGUCCUCGACCUAUUCUCAAACUUUAAAUAGGUAAGAGGGUGCGGCUGCUCCAUUGAGCCGCGCCGUGGAAUCGAGAGCUCCAAGUGGGCCAUUUUUGGUAAGCAGAACUGGCGAUGCGGGAUGAACC